CAGGUUCUUAGCACACUGACUCAGCUGCAUGGCAGAAGCCUGGUCUUGAAUUGUUGGUACUGAAGCUUUUGCAGCUGCCACCAUCUUCCCACCUGGCUGUUGGGGAACAGGUUGGUAGAUGAGUGAAAGGCAAUCACUACGAGGAACUGCCUCCAGAAGGACAGUGGGAUGGCCCUGGGGUGCCUGGAUUCCUCUGUCAUGCUGACCUCCUUUAAGAUGAACCGUCAAUUCUUCCUCUUCUUGUGGCUUGCCCCACUUCCUAAAGAACACCCAGAAUGCUACAGACAGGGAAGGAGAGGUUUCUGAAAGUAAACAACAGGCCCAUGGCUGCAUGGCUGGCAAGGCCACACUGUGCUGAGUCCGUAAGGUGAGGUGGAUGGGUCUGCAUGGGAAUAUCCACUGGGCUUGGGGAAUCUCACUGGGGUUUUUGUUUUUCUGGGGA
Heterocephalus glaber (naked mole-rat) is the source of this 442-nucleotide non-coding RNA. NCBI's taxonomy places the organism in Eukaryota, Metazoa, Chordata, Mammalia, Rodentia, Bathyergidae. The record is from RefSeq and is a predicted model, not a curated record.